CGAAUUGUUGCUUUUGGACUUGACAGCUACCAGGAAUAUGAAAUAUUUGAGCCCUUCAGUCGAUCCCCGUACUCUGGCAGCCCUUUUUUUUUUCCUUUCAUGUCCCAGCUAGGGGGCUCCCGCAGCCGACGGGCCCCUCACGCACUCGGGCUCACAGCGCGCCAGGCCUCGUAGAUCAAAGAGACUUCGAGAGAAAGGUUUCCUUCUUUAAGGAUUGUUCGGAAAAUCUUGGAAGCGGGGAUCAUUCCGCCUCCGCCCUCGCCCCGGGCUGCAGGGUUGCACAGGGGAGAGCUUUUGGGAAGGUAGAGAGAGAGAGGGCUUGAGAGAAAGGAGAACAAAAAUAAAAAUAGAAAAGAAAGAGAAGAAGAAAGGAGAGAAAAAAAAAAUGAGAAGGAAAAAAAAAAGACAGAAAGAAAGAAAGAAAAGAAGAGUUGCUUGAAGUUCAUCAACCGCGUGCACGGGGAGCGCACGCAACGCACAGAGCCGCGGGGCUGCGUGUCCCGGUGGGCAGCACCCAGGGUGUGGGGGGCCGGGGGUCCCACCCGGGGGUCCCACUCCGGGGCUUUCCUGCGGGACCUGGGGAGCCCGUGGGGGGAGCGCACAGGUGGUGAGUGCUGCUGCCAGGCCGUGCCCGUGCGCCGUGGAUGAUGGAUGGACGGAUGGAUCAGUUUGUUGUCUCGGGGAAGGAUAAAUGAGUUGUGGCCGUUUCCUCGAGGCUCCAGCAGAACGGAGAGGGAGGGAGGGAGCAGAGGUUGCUCCCUGCGGGCACGUCGCUGCUGGCCGCUCGCCACCGCUCCUCGGGUCGGGCCGCAACCGAGGGGGGCCGGGAGCUCCGGGGGCACCGGGCCGGGAGGAUCCGUGAUGGAAACUUCGGGAACACCGGGGUUGGAUUGAACCGUGGGGAAACGGAGCAGGAAAAAUCGAAAACUCCUUUUUUGCGGCUUCUUGUAACGAAACCCCGAGCCCUCAGCCCCUCGCACACCGCACUAAAGCAAACAGACACGCACGGGGACAUUCCAAGCCGUGUCCUGGAGGCUGGCAGCGCGUUAUCUCUCUGACCCGCCGACCUCUCCCUGCAGCCAGACCCCUCUCACAUCCCCCGAGCCUUCACAUAGCGGCCGUUUCCACCUGAAGCUUUCUGACUCCGAACAGAAGAGAAAAGCCGAUAGCACCCGAAUAAGCUCGUGGGGUUACUUUGGGGUUUUUGUUGGUUUUUCUUUUUUCUUCAUCUUCUUUUCUUUUUUUUUUUUCUUUCUUUCCAGCUUGCCCUAUACUUCCCACGUGCUUCUCCAAAACCCCGCAUUAUUAGCGAACAAUUAAGGCGUGUAAAAACACGGCGAGGCGAAGCCCUCAGCUUGAAGUGGCCGUUUAGGGCGUUCGUGUAACUCCCGGCUCCGGCUGCUCGUCGGGGGCCGCAAUGGGUCCCCCCCGAGGGCACGGCGGCUGUGCGGGCUGCUCCGGGCUCAGCUCCCGGGGCUGCUCCUCCUUCGGCUUUUCCCUUUGCUAACCUUUCAUUUAUUUAUUUUAAUUAUCGAACAAUUCUGGAGAAGGUGCUACUUUUUUCUCCUUUUUUUUCUUCCCUCCCCCUCCUUAUUUUUUCUUUCUUUUUUUUUUUUCCUUUCAUUCUUUCAUUUAUUUAUUUAUUGUUGUUCACUCUCGGCCGGAGUAGCUCACCACAGCUCACCGGGGCAGUAAUUCCUGCUGAACUUCAUGUUGUUCUCUCUAGAGUUAGCUUUCCACCACUCAUCCAGCCAAAACUCUUUCUAGCGAAGGACCUUAUUUAACUCAGCAUUGAAACAAACAAACAAACGAACAGCCAACAACAAAACCAAAAACCGAACAACCACCAACAAUCCAACCGCUCGCAUCGGGCUGGGCUGUGCCGACCCUGUCGAGCUCUAACGCAGCCGGGGAGCCCCCACCUCACGGGCACCCCGAUCCCUCCCUGCCCGGCAGCCCCCUCUCCCCCCGGCUUCUCUCCUUUCCGAAGUCCUUCCCAACUUUACUUCCACGUGAGCCUCCAGAGCAAAAUAGAAUGAGCAGGGAAACAAACCCGACAGAAAAAGGCAGCGGUGCUUUUUCCCAUGGACUUUCUCCAUGGAAAAGGAACGCGGCCCGAGGCGAAGCAGCGCCCUGUCCCGGUUGAGCCCCGGCGGCAGCGCGGCCAGCGAGGGCUCCUCCGAAAACGUGUCGCGUUCGGUAGGACGAAAAGUGGGCUUCGCUUUGCAGCGCGAAGCGGCGCCUCGGGCCGGUAGAGACUUUCUUUAAUAAACCGAGCGAUUUUAGUUUUUUUUGUUUUUGUUUUUGCUUUGUUUUGUUUUCAAUUUUUCUUAACAAUUACGAGAGAAAAAUAAUAAAAAAAAAAAAAAAUAAAUGAAGAACCCCAAAGGGUGGGAGCAGCCGGAGGACCCCACCGUGUGCUGGCAGCGGAGCGGGCACGGAGCAGCUCCCGGCAGCCGCAUUUCUGCCAUCGCGCUCAUACCGCCUCCGGAGCUCCGAGUGGCUUUAUUUAGCUGUACUUCUCACUGCACGGAGCGCGCAUAUAGCGCUGAGCAGCUCUAAUACGUUUCAAAUACUUCUGCAGUCCAAAUCCACGUACGUGUACGUAUGGCGCUACAUAAAGC
Molecule: long non-coding RNA, 2624 nt
Filed under: Gallus gallus (chicken)
Lineage: Eukaryota; Metazoa; Chordata; Aves; Galliformes; Phasianidae
Source: RNAcentral